Molecule: non-coding RNA, 2967 nt
Organism: Podarcis lilfordi (Lilford's wall lizard)
Lineage: Eukaryota; Metazoa; Chordata; Lepidosauria; Squamata; Lacertidae
Source: the annotation of a GenBank genome assembly
GGAUAAAACUCCACAACAAAGCAAUCUCAGUGCAGUCAUAUAUACGCAAUUGCACCAAAAUUCUUUCAGGUAGCAUCCAUUGAACCCAGACGUUGCCUCUCAACAAAUAUGGAAGGGCUCCUUCCAUCUGCGGAGGUCUUCUGAUCCAGUGGAUGAAUUCUGCUUGUGGGGUGAGGAAGGAGGCCAUUUUCAAUCUGUUCCCUCUCUACGUCUCCUGAAAAAUCUGCUUUGCAGGGUUGGGGAACACUCUGGGAUAAUGUGGGAGCCCUGGGAACUGUAGGGGGAAAGGGACAUUGGCAAAAAUCACCUCUCCAUGUUUCUGCUGAUGGGGAUGUCCUGUGUAGGACCUUUGCUUAAGUGGAUCUGAUGUCCAUAUAUCCAUUGACACUACAAAAAGGGGGAGGGAAGACACAAAUGAGCUGAAGAAGCUUAACAUGGUGACAAGAUGGACAAACAAAAAGACAUACAUACAUACAUACAUACAUAAAGGUAAAGGUAAAGGGGACCCCUGACCGUUAGGGGGUUGCGGUGCUCAUCUCGCUUUACUGGCCGAGGGAGCCGGUGUUUGUCCGCAGACAGCUUCCGGGUCAUGUGGCCAGCAUGACUAAGCCGCUUCUGGUGAACCAGAGCAGUGCACGGAAAUGCCGUUUACCUUCCCACCAGAGUGGUACCUAUUUAUCUACUUGCACUUUGUGCUUUCAAACUGCUAUGUUUCGCAGGAACUAGGACCGAAUAAUGGGAGCUCACCCCAUCAUGGGGAUUCAAACUGCCAACCUUCUGAUCAGCAAGCCCCAGGCUCAGUGAUUUAGACCACAGCACCACCCGUGACCGUUACAUACAUACAUAUCUGUGCCAAACAUUUGAAUUUUCACAAAACCAUACAGGAAGCAAGAAGGACGUCACCAAAACAUAUAAGGAUAUACAAAACAGAGCAAAACCCCAAAGGAAAGCUCAUGUCUUGCUGCCGGAAUUAUAUUAGUGAAAACAAACCUUAUCUUGGUACUUUGUAUUCCAGUGACUUAUAUACUGCAUUUCCCAAUAAAUUUAUUAGGUACACAUCCUUCCUUACACCUUUAAUAAGAAGCUAGUUUAGGAGAUAUAUAAAAGCUGUCUCCCAGACACUGUUGCAGACUUAAUAAAGGCUUGAAAGAUUUCCUGUUCACAGAGAUUACCUGUCUGACUUUUAGUAACAAGAAUGUAGUGAGUUCUAAAUCUUCUUCAUUAACAAUUCCUUUCAAAUAAGGAGGGCACUUUUGAGUGCCAAGGGGAUAUAAUAACCAGAUAUAUCUUGAAUUUUAUUGGGCAUUUCUUACUAGAAUAGUUUUCUGUGGGGCAAGACCAGAAUAAAUAGAAAAUAACUUUCACAGCCUGCUGCUCUCCAGAUGUUUGGAUUACAUCUUUCCUUAGCCCAGCCUCUUCCAUACAGUCCAAAACAUCUGGAAAGUACCAUGUUGGGAAGCCUGAAAAGUUCAGUUCCUCCAUUCUUGCUCCAUAUAGCGGGUCCAAUGGUCAAGAAGGCGGCUUCUGCACAUGCUGUAGAGGGAAAUUUUUUACACAUCACAUGGGAAGACAGGCGAACUAAUGCCAGUGUGCUGGAAGAAGCAAAGAUCACCAGUGUCAAAGCAAUAAUUCUUCAACAUCAACUUGGUUGGACUGGUCAUGUUGUGCAGAUACCUGAUUAUCAUAUUCCAAAGCAACUACUCUAUUCCGAACUUAAAAAUGGAAAGCAUAAUACUGGUGGUCAGCAAAAGAGGUUAAAAUACUCAAGGCAAAUCUAAAAAAAAAAGGAUUAUAAACUUAAACCUCCACUGCUUUGUGGGAUAUCUUCGGGAGAUGGAAAGGCUAAGAAGUAAACUCUACACAAAUCCAGAGUGGAGUCCCUAAGACAAUUGGGUGGUGCCUUGUAUGACCUCACUCCCAGAGGCAUACUCCAUUGUCUUUCGAGACAGACACAUGGCAACAUUUCUGCAUAUGUAUGCAAAAAGGUUCCAACUCUUCAUUUCCAUCUCCAAUAGAAACCAAUGAUAAUUCUGUACAUCUCCCCCAUUGGAGCAUCUCAUUUAUAUAGAAAUUUAUGCAUUGAAUGUAUUUAUAUUUAUAUAGGUUAAUGUUUAGUACGUUUCCGAGCACAAUUCAAAGUGUUGGUGCUGACCUUUAAAGCCCUAAGCAGCCUUGGCCCAGUUUACUUGAAGGUGUGUCUCCACUCCCAUCAUUCAUUGAGGUCCAGCUCUGAGGGCCUUUUUCUGGAAUGAAAGUCAUUCCCCCGCUUCCCAAAGAUAUGUGUGACAAUGCAAGGUCUCCCCAGUUGAAACAGAUCAACCAUGCUUCAUUUUGAGUCAGGCUCCAAUUUAAGCCCAUCCAAAGUUAUUUCCAACAUUUUUUUUCAAUUCAUUAUAAAUCAUUUCCCAGAAUGCUUUUGAUAUCUUACACAGCCACCACAUGUGAAAAGGGUGCUUUCCUUCUCUUUACAUUUCCAGAAGGAACUACUGUUCUGGGACUCCAAAUACCACCAGACCCAGCCAGAAUGGCCAACUGUGAUGAUAGGAGUUGGGAGUCCAAGAACAUCUGAUGGGCACCAUAUUAGCUACCCGUGGAUAAAUGUACACAUUUGGGCAUCCUCUUCCUUACCCCAGGACUCAGGUGACCUUAGCCAACAUACAAGGAAUAUUUACCUUGUACCAUGUGUCAUAGUUUGGAUUGUUUUUACUUAACUUGCCUUGCGGGCACAACUGAUGCAGAACACCUUGCUAAAUCUGCCUCUCUCCUUGCAGGAAACCAGGAUCUCUAGAAGUGGGCUAAUUUCUUUGGCACUUCAGGGACCAGGAAGAUCAGCUUCAGUGGUGGAAGACUGGAAUGUAUUUGGUUGUAUUGUUAAAAAAGCUUCUUUCUAGCUAAAUAAUCUACUGAUUUUUUUAGGGCGACUGCUAUGAUUGAUGUUUUGCUGCAGAAAUGAAAAUGUUUGCAGUG